Molecule: ribosomal RNA, 213 nt
Filed under: Triticum aestivum (bread wheat)
Lineage: Eukaryota; Viridiplantae; Streptophyta; Magnoliopsida; Poales; Poaceae
Description: partial small subunit ribosomal RNA
Source: RNAcentral
AUGAUGGAUGUUGCAGGUUCAUUGAUGACAGCCAAGGGUUCAUGCUCGGAAAUGACUACAUCUUGCUCCAUGUUGUCGGCUCAGCUAAAGUCCUUAAUCAUGAGGAGAUGGGACACGUCGAUUGUUACAGUACACUCGACAGGUGCAUUUUGUGAUAUUCUAGCCAAAAUAUUGAUAGCAUGCUUGCCUGCUCGUUCUUUUCAGUUCAAAUAA